Molecule: ribosomal RNA, 490 nt
Filed under: uncultured bacterium
Lineage: Bacteria
Description: partial 16S ribosomal RNA
Rfam family: Bacterial small subunit ribosomal RNA
Source: RNAcentral
AUUGAACGCUGGCGGCAGGCCUAACACAUGCAAGUCGAACGGUAACAGGAAGCAGCUUGCUGCUUCGCUGACGAGUGGCGGACGGGUGAGUAAUGUCUGGGAAACUGCCUGAUGGAGGGGGAUAACUACUGGAAACGGUAGCUAAUACCGCAUAACGUCGAAAGACCAAAGAGGGGGACCUUAGGGCCUCUUGCCAUCGGAUGUGCCCAGAUGGGAUUAGCUAGUAGGUGGGGUAACGGCUCACCUAGGCGACGAUCCCUAGCUGGUCUGAGAGGAUGACCAGCCACACUGGAACUGAGACACGGUCCAGACUCCUACGGGAGGCAGCAGUGGGGAAUAUUGCACAAUGGGCGCAAGCCUGAUGCAGCCAUGCCGCGUGUAUGAAGAAGGCCUUCGGGUUGUAAAGUACUUUCAGCGGGGAGGAAGGGAGUAAAGUUAAUACCUUUGCUCAUUGACGUUACCCGCAGAAGAAGCACCGGCUAACUCCGUG